This 480-nucleotide ribosomal RNA is filed under the name uncultured bacterium. Its description in RNAcentral is "partial 16S ribosomal RNA". It matches the Rfam family "Bacterial small subunit ribosomal RNA", at positions 28 to 523 of the family's 1533-position model. The record is from RNAcentral.
GACGAACGCUGGCGGCGUGCUUAACACAUGCAAGUCGGGCGGAAAGGCCCUUUCGGGGGUACUCGAGCGGCGAACGGGUGAGUAACACGUGAGUAAUCUGCCCCUGGCUUUGGGAUAGCCACCGGAAACGGUGAUUAAUACCGGAUACGACCACUUCUCGCAUGGGAUGGUGGUGGAAAGUUUUUCGGCCAGGGAUGUGCUCGCGGCCUAUCAGCUUGAUGGUGAGGUAAUGGAUCACCAUGGCUUCGACGGGUAGCCGGCCUGAGAGGGCGACCGGUCACACUGGGACUGAGACACGGCCCAGACUACUACGGGAGGCAGCAGUGGGGAAUAUUGGACAAUGGGCGGAAGCCUGAUCCAGCAACGCCGCGUGAGGGAUGACGGCCUUCGGGUUGUAAACCUCUUUCAGCAGGGACGAAGCGCAAGUGACGGUACCUGCAGAAGAAGCACCGGCCAACUACGUGCCAGCCGCCGCCGUAA